UACGAAGGGGGCUAGCGUUGCUCGGAAUUACUGGGCGUAAAGGGCGCGUAGGCGGACAGUUUAGUCAGAGGUGAAAGCCCAGGGCUCAACCUUGGAAUUGCCUUUGAUACUGGCUGUCUUGAGUUCGGGAGAGGUGAGUGGAAUGCCGAGUGUAGAGGUGAAAUUCGUAGAUAUUCGGCGGAACACCAGGGGGGAAGGGGACUCCCUGGCCCGAAACUGACGCUGAGGCGCGAAAGCGUGGGGAGCAAACAGG
This 253-nucleotide ribosomal RNA is filed under the name uncultured bacterium. RNAcentral describes it as "partial 16S ribosomal RNA". It matches the Rfam family "Bacterial small subunit ribosomal RNA", at positions 524 to 776 of the family's 1533-position model. The record is from RNAcentral.